GGAAGCUUAGCUCACUCGGUAGAGCGGCCCCCUUACAAGGGGCAGGUAGUCAGUUCGAUACUGACAGCUUCCACCA
This 76-nucleotide transfer RNA is filed under the name Pseudomonas fluorescens. RNAcentral describes it as "tRNA-Val". It matches the Rfam family "tRNA". Rfam says of the family: Transfer RNA (tRNA) molecules are approximately 80 nucleotides in length. RNAcentral also lists the same sequence under 3 other names. Lineage: Bacteria; Pseudomonadati; Pseudomonadota; Gammaproteobacteria; Pseudomonadales; Pseudomonadaceae. The record is from RNAcentral.